RNAcentral lists this long non-coding RNA (199 nucleotides) under Scophthalmus maximus (turbot). Its description in RNAcentral is "lncRNA (ENSSMAG00000032619.1)". Lineage: Eukaryota; Metazoa; Chordata; Actinopteri; Pleuronectiformes; Scophthalmidae. The record is from RNAcentral.
GUUAUGUGGAGCUGAAAUGAAGCCGGACAGAGGGGCUGACUCUGUGGGGAUACGCUGGGGGCCGACUUCUGCUGCACAUGCGGGGGUUUUGCUGAGGCAGAGGAAAGUACUGGAGUUUUUAAGGGCACGGCAGAACUUUCGGGGCUUGGCAGGUGAUUUGUGCAACCACAAGCCCAUUCACAGAGUAAACAGCGCAUGA